This 492-nucleotide ribosomal RNA is filed under the name uncultured bacterium. Its description in RNAcentral is "partial 16S ribosomal RNA". It matches the Rfam family "Bacterial small subunit ribosomal RNA", at positions 28 to 507 of the family's 1533-position model. The record is from RNAcentral.
GAUGAACGCUAGCUACAGGCUUAACACAUGCAAGUCGAGGGGAAACGGCAUCGAAAGCUUGCUUUUGAUGGGCGUCGACCGGCGCACGGGUGAGUAACGCGUAUCCAACCUGCCCAUCACUUGGGAAUAACCUUGCGAAAGUAAGACUAAUGCCCAAUGACAUCCCACGAAGGCAUCCGAAUGGGAUUAAAGAUUUAUCGGUGAUGGAUGGGGAUGCGUCUGAUUAGCUUGUUGGCGGGGUGACGGCCCACCAAGGCAACGAUCAGUAGGGGUUCUGAGAGGAAGGUCCCCCACAUUGGAACUGAGACACGGUCCAAACUCCUACGGGAGGCAGCAGUGAGGAAUAGUGGUCAAUGGGCGAGAGCCUGAACCAGCCAAGUAGCGUGCAGGAUGACGGCCCUAUGGGUUGUAAACUGCUUUUAUAAGGGAAUAAAGUGGGUCACGUGUGACUUUUUGCAUGUACCUUAUGAAUAAGGACCGGCUAAUUCCGUG